GGACAAAGUCGCUGUCGUGACAUUUCACUGUGGUUUAUUUGAAGUACAGUACUAAAGACUCCUCUCACCAGUAUCAGAAAAAAACUCAUAGCUGCCACUUUCAACAGUCAUUAAAUCUUAGAGCAUAAAAUUUGCUUAGUAUAAACUAGCAAGCAGUGGUACGAAACCUUGCAUGUCUGGGUCUUGCACAAGUGUUUCUCACAACUUUCUUUGAUUUCUGCUUUAAUCUCAUUUAACUCAGAAUAAAUGGAUUUUAAGUUUUUUGUUGUUACAUUAUACAUACUUGUGCUUGCAGGUGCAAAGCGUAAGUACCAGCAUAGGUAUGCAACAUAGCUGUGCUCAUGCAGCACUUUUCUAGGCUUACUGAUCACUCAAAGCUCUUCUAACAUCUUAAGUACACAUUCAUACAGCACUUUAUCUUGACAUGCAUGUUUUUGGACUGUGGAAGGAAGCUUGAGUACCUGAUGGAAACUCAGUCCAAGUACCUCUAGAGCUGGUCAAGCAUACAAACUCCAUGCUCCCUGCAGGAGUUAAACCAGAACCCUUCUUGCUCUGAUGCAACAGUGCACAUCAACCUACCACCAUGCUUGUGUCCGUGUCAAGGUACAAUAUCUCACACUUAUGGUGUUCUACUAUUACACUGUUUGGAGAGUCCUCCACGAUCUUUUAAAGACCAGCAGGUGCCUGUCUCUGUGGGAACCUGGGCAAAUGUGACGGUUCUCACGACUGAAUCAAGCUCCUGCCUUCACCUCUGUCACCACUCUCCCAUAAGAAGUACACACAGACCCGACAUGUACAGCUUCCAGGUUCAGAUCUAAAAUUCAUCUGAAAAGAAACAGCUCAAUUUUGACCCGGAAUAGCCUCGAUGUACAACAAUAUUUUUUGGAUUCAACUUUCAUUUUGCGUAUUUUGUGUAACUUUCGGAAAAGGCGUUGAAUUUCAGGGUAAAACAAUAACAUUUAUGUUUAAUUAUUUAUUUUUACUGCUGUCAAAUUUUUAAAAAAGAUCUGAUUUGACCCAGAAUGUAAGAGUUAAAAGAUUGAAAGACCCUGAAUGUAUAUGUAGUUUCAGUAUCAAAAAAGCAACAGCCUCCAGAGGUCUCAACCGCAGUGCGCCAAACCAUCUUUCUCCGUAGCCUGUCUUAUAUUCGAGGACGUUUCCUUGGCCGUGAGAGCAUCCCAUCCACCUGCGCGUGUGGCAGGAAAUCAUGCGCCCACUAGUUAGCACCGCUGAUUUGCUAACUAGAGUCUGCCCCGGCACGUCCAGGGACAUCGGAGGGCACCUGAGCAAGGACGUGUGAGAGGACGGAGACAACGGGCUCAGAUUCAGAGACGGGAUGAAGAAAAAGUACAGAGAUGUCAAAUGAAUUUUCGGAAACGCUUCUCCAUCUUGUCACGCUUUGACCUCCUCAUAGGUCCAAAGCUAAUAUAGUAAGUGGAGACUCUUUGGAACAUUACGUGCUGAAACACAUUGGUUGAAUAAAGCACAGGCUCUUCCAGAGAGUAAUCCCUGAACGCAGACAGGUAAUAAUGUGUGUUGAGCUAAGAGGAUGAAGACUUAUUAUAUAAUUGGCAUUUCUGUUGUGCAGGUGUGUGUGUGUGUGUGUGUGUGUGUGUGUGUGUUGAGUCAAAUGCUGGAGAAUUGGAUUCAGUCGUGCUGCUGUGAUGCUGUUUUUCUGGUUAUUGUUUCGUAACAUGUCAUAGCAAAUCAUGCACUCCGAUAAGAAGGCACACAUGCUCACACAAAGAUGCACGUGGCAUUAACACAAACGCUUCAGUCAGAUGAGAGAGGACGAGCUGGCAGAUACUGUGCAGGAGGCAAGCAUCAAUACUGAUAUUGUAAGAGGAAGUUUUUCAGCGUCCUUACUCUGGAUUGUGUGAACAAAGACAUCCAAGGAUUCCUUGUUGCUCUGGAUUUGCCUGAUUCCUAACCAGCUUUCUCUAUCUUGGAUGUAUUUUGUUCAUUUUAGCACUAUUUUGAUCUUUUCUGCACCACUUUGAGUUUGGUGCAAAAGUCUUUGCCGGCAAUAAUACGAGCAUCUUUACAGGUCUUUUCUAGCUGGUUUUUUUGGGGGGGUUUUGCCCAGAGACGUGACAAGGCAGGCCGUUUAUUUCAUAUCAUUUGGAAAAAGCGUGAAAGACACAGCUUAUAUAUGCGGUAUUCAAUUUUUUAAACUCUGAAAGGUGUAAUUUUUCUGACCUUGCAUUUAUUUCUGUAAGAUUACUUUCUGAGACUGCCGUGAGCAUUUUAAACCGCCUCUCCACCAUGCAUAAUAAGUCAUUUUUGCAGGCUCGCUGUGAUGAGCCUAUAAUUACGUCGGACUGGGGUCUCCUUUUGCUACUGGCUCUGCUGCUGCUGGCGCUGGUCUACUCCUUCCUCUACCUGCCUGCCUCCGCCCAGCGAGCCCUGCUAGAGCAGGCCCUCAGCAGCAACAACACCACCACCGCCGUGAUUGACUGAUUCAGGGAUGAACCCUGACAGAAGCUUCACGAAUGGAUAAGCAGACAAGCGAGGCCAUCUUGCAUAUGUAAAUAGUGUGGACUGUACUGCUUGUCAUUUUGCCCAACUAAAAUCAAGAGGCUGUAAAGUGGCAGUAAGGAAACAGAGACACGGAAACCUGAAGAUGGAUUUAAAGUGCGUUUGACUUGGAGGGGUUUGUAAUGAGCCAUUUAGCGCCUCUGUGUUUCAGAGAAGAAAAAAAGUAUGUAGCUGUGUUGAAGCACUGUACUUUCUGGAGGUCCUACUGGCCAUGUUGUUCCCUGUAUGUAUAUUAAAAAUGGUAUCAGGCGUG
Molecule: long non-coding RNA, 2791 nt
Organism: Oreochromis niloticus (Nile tilapia)
Lineage: Eukaryota; Metazoa; Chordata; Actinopteri; Cichliformes; Cichlidae
Exons: 2
Source: RefSeq, a predicted model, not a curated record